UGAUGGAAAGUUGAAAAGAACUUUGAAGAGAGGGUUCAAGAGUACGUGAAACCGCCACGGGAAAAAACGGAUGGGACCUCGAARGUAUCGUCGCGGGGAUUCAGCCGAUCGGUUCGGGCGGGCGUCUGUUGUCGACCGCAAGGCGACACGGGUGCUCYGCUACGGGCUGGAACGGUGCACUUCCUCGCGACUGAAUGCUGCGACCGAUUGGGCAGCUGCCAGCGAGCCAGGCGGGAGCCUGUCGCAGGGACUCGUCCCGCGGCAGACCGUCGGGUUUCGGCAGUCUGGUCGAUCGUAUCCGAACGGUACAGUGCACGCGCACGGCGCGCCGGUCUCGAACUCCGGCGGCGGCACUGCGCUCUGCAGCGAGUAGAUCGGCGACCCAUCCGACCCGUCUUGAAACACGGACCAAGGAGUCUAACAUGUGCGCAAGUGAUUGGGUGUUCCAAGACCCAAACGCGCAAUGAAAGUGAAGGCCCGGAUUGCCAGGCCGAGGGGUGAUCGUGCCCCUUCGGGGGAACGCGCAGCCCCGGGACGCGCCGUACGCUUGCCGUAGGCUCGUACCCAGAGCGUACACGUUGGGACCCGAAAGAUGGUGAACUAUGCCUGGCCAGGACGAAGUCAGAGGAAACUCUGAUGGAGGUCCGUAGCGAUUUUGACGUGCAAAUCAAUCGUCCGAGCUGGGUAUAGGGGCGAAAGACUAAUCGAACCAUCUAGUAGCUGGAUCCAUCCGAAGUUUCCCUCAGGAUAGCUGGCGCUCGCANGACCGAGUUUCAUCCGGUAAAGCGAAUGAUUAGAGGCCUUGGGGCCGAAACGANCUCAACCUAUUCUCAAACUUUAAAUGGGUGAGAAGUCGGGCUUGCUCGACUGAAGCACCGACCNUNGAAUCNAGAGUGCCAAGUGGGCCACUUUUGGUAAGCAGAACUGGCGCUGUGGGAUGAACCAAACGCAGAGUUAAGGUGCCCGAGAGAACGCUCAUCAGAUCCCAUGAAAGGUGUUGGUUGCUAUAGACAGCAGGACGGUGGCCAUGGAAGUCGGAA
RNAcentral lists this ribosomal RNA (1040 nucleotides) under Facetotecta sp. Its description in RNAcentral is "partial large subunit ribosomal RNA". The record is from RNAcentral. Lineage: Eukaryota; Metazoa; Arthropoda; Thecostraca.